RNAcentral lists this long non-coding RNA (247 nucleotides) under Oryza sativa (Asian cultivated rice). Its description in RNAcentral is "long non-coding RNA (OSAT_LNC000751)". The record is from RNAcentral. Lineage: Eukaryota; Viridiplantae; Streptophyta; Magnoliopsida; Poales; Poaceae.
AAAACUAGCUAGCUAGCCAAUGGCCUCCAUGUCCUCCUUCCGACUUGCCGUGGCGGUGGCUGCACUAUUGGUCAUUGGCUCACAUGCCACAGAGCUCACCUUCAAGGUUGCUGAGGGCUCUAGCGCCACUAGUCUAGAGCUCGUCACCAACGUCGCCAUCUCUGAGGUGGAGGUCAAGGAGAAAGGCGGCAAGGACUGGGUGGGGCUCAAGGAGUCGGGCUCUAACACCUGGACACUCAAAAGUGAU